GUGUAUGGCCAUACCAUCCUGAAUGUGCCCGAUAGUGGCUGAUCUCAGAAGCUAAGCAAGGUGGGGCCUGUUUAGUACUUGGAUAGGAGAAUGUUAACUCAAGCACAAAACUGU
This 114-nucleotide ribosomal RNA is filed under the name Cavia porcellus (domestic guinea pig). Lineage: Eukaryota; Metazoa; Chordata; Mammalia; Rodentia; Caviidae. The record is from RNAcentral.